This is a non-coding RNA of Camellia sinensis, 880 nucleotides long. NCBI's taxonomy places the organism in Eukaryota, Viridiplantae, Streptophyta, Magnoliopsida, Ericales, Theaceae. The record is from RefSeq and is a predicted model, not a curated record.
ACAAGAAGAAGAAAGGAGCAAAUACCAAGAAAAAGACCAUCAACAUCCGAGGAAGUGUAGAGGUGUGAAAAUUAUUUGAAUAAGUUAAUUUACUAUUAAAAAAAAAAACUAUUAUUUUGUUAACUUUCAAAUUUUAUAUUUUGCAGCAAUCCGAGUUUGGUGCAUCUUCAAAUAUAGGACUUGUUGAUCUUGGUACACAAGAGAGUAUUUAAGUGAAUGAAUCUGAAAUAUUGGGUCCAAGUUUAGAGCAACAAAACAUAUUUCAAGAAAACUUGUCAUACCAAGGGUAUCAUCAUCCAUCUCCAUCUUUGAUAUUCGAACAUUCAAGUUUCACAAAAAUGUUGAAUGACAUAGUACAAUCACAGGCUAACAAUCCAGAAGAGGACACAAAUGGUAGAAGUUGAAAAUGUCUACAUGACAGGGUUGCUUAGACAUUUGUUUCCCUUUUUUUUAAAGUUUGUUGAGAAUGUUUAUAUUACAUUUUGAGAGACUUGUUUGUUAAAACACAAUGAUUUUUGUAUUGGAUUAUAUAGUUGAACUAUUACAUUGAAGCAUUAUCAAUUAUUAGAGUUUAUUGUGGAACAUUGAAGUUUUUUUUAUCAUGAAAUGUGAUUUUUUUUUUUUUUUUUCACAUUAUGAGUAAAUUACCAUUAAGAAUUUUUUUCUUCAUUAUGAAUAAAUUUUAUUUGUUCUUUAAUUUGUGAUCUCAACCAAGCUCAUUAACAGGUUAUGUUUGUCAUUAAAAAUUAAGAAAAAGUCAAUGAGGAGUUGCUAGUAACAAUAUCAAUAAGAGCAUGACAAAAAUAAAUGUUGCGUUUGGUAGAGUUUUGCAAAUGUGAUUUGAGGGUAUGAGUUGUAUUUUGAAUUUGUGAGUUGUGGA